GCAGGCCACCCCCGGGGCGUCUUGAGAUGACAAGCGAUGGAAGCAUCCCUUAGAAGACAGCCUCGCCGGGGAGCUGCGGGAGACAGGCGGCACAAGCUGCACCCAGGAGCCGAGGGCCCUGGGACAGCAGAGCAGGCCAGGUGGUUGUAAGGGCAAAUUCCUCUGGAGGGAGGGAAGGAACAGGAGGAAGAGCCCCAGUCCAUACAGGAUGCGGAGGAUGGUCCCAAUCACCCAGGAAGCAGAACUGGAGCUCAGCCAGGCAGGUAAAGUGUUGAGAGCCACCAUGUGAUAGUCACUGCAAGAG
Molecule: long non-coding RNA, 304 nt
Filed under: Equus caballus (horse)
Lineage: Eukaryota; Metazoa; Chordata; Mammalia; Perissodactyla; Equidae
Description: lncRNA (ENSECAG00000055645.1)
Source: RNAcentral